CACUUUUGAAUACAUUAAAUACAACUAAAUGACUCAUCAAGUAUUUGUAGUAGUUCCUGCGGACUUGAUUCAAAAUUUCUAAGAAAUAAGUAACACUUCGGGAUAUAUAAAGGGUUGAUGAUAUGUUCUGAUAUAAUAGAUUACUGGCUACUGAGUAGAAGUUGUGUACGAUUUUACAGUAUGAAUCAAAGAAUUAAAAUAACCCUAUUAAUAGUGUGUUUACUAUUACUGACAAUAGAAGCAGCAAAUUUAGCUGAUUUAAAGCGUCAACUUAGAAGAUUGGGAAUUGCUAGAUCCAUAAUUGCCAGAAUUAUAUGUCAUACUUGUAAACAAACAAACAACCAACCUUGUAUUAGGAGAUAUUGCACGUAGACUACAAACAUUCACAAGUCCAUUACAAAGACCAAAUGUUUAUCAAAGUGUUUAUGUUUAAAUGGUACACUCCUUAGGUUUAUUAUUAAUAUUUUGUUUCGCUUAAUUUUCGUUUUAAGUUCCAACUAUAUUAUACCAAUGUCAGGGCUGUAACGUUUGCGCAGUGGUGGAAUUUACUGGAAUUAUGUUGUUGGUUGAUUUUGCAUUACGGACAGAAGGCAAGAUUCCAUAGUUACUGCAAGUAGUUGCCAAGGGAGGCUUGUGAGAUAUCAAUCAUUAUGGAAAAUUCCAUGGAAAUCUGAUUUCUGCUCUCUAAAACCAGCCCAUGGAAGAUUUCUCUUGGUUUUAUACAGCAACGUCAAUGAGGCUUAGUUUCUAGAUUUAUUAUAUCUUGAUACAAUAAAACAUAAAAAUAUAUGAUUAAAUUGCUUUUUCGGAAAUUAACAAACUUCCAAAAUUUCUAGAGCUGAAUUUCAGCAACACAUUGACUGUUAUAAAUUGACUGUAAACAUGAAUGUGAAUACAUGUACAUGUAUUCUGUAAUAACUUGCCCUUGUCUCGGGUUAAUCGUACCCGCAAAAUGGACUUAUAGAUUUGCUUUGGGACUUGUUAUGUUCGUGACAUAACUUUCAAGUUUAUAUUCCAAAAACGUAUCCGAAGAUAUUGAAACUUUCUCAGCAUGUAUGCAUAUUGGUGUCAAAUGUAUCAAUCCUUCAUAGAUAGGUAACAUAGAAGACCAAAUUUUAGAAUGUAUAUACAUGAUCAGAUGAGACAAACUGUGCAUAAAAUUGGUGUCGAUCUUUUAUAGAUAACGUUUCUGUAAUAUUUCCAAUUGUAUUAUCUUUACCUACGCGGAUAAUAAGAAAUACUCUUGCUGAAAAAGAAACGUUAUCUAAGAUUACUUGGGGAAAUGAAAUGGGUUUAACGUCCUACUGUUAUGCUCCUGUCAAGAGAUUUUUUACAUACACGACAAUGUGUACACGGGACCUCGGUUUUUGUCCCAUCCGAACGACUAGACAGCUGUCGUUAUCAGGCCCUACGUCCUGCAUCGGAAUGACCUUUCUCGGCCAAUGCAUGGAUCGAACACCCGACCUCUAGGCUAGCGAGCCAGCGCCUUACCCAACUUACCCCCGUGACUUACUUGGUAAUUGGAUACUAAGAAAUAACAUCGUUAGAGCGACAGAUACUUUUGGUACGUCUUCGAAAAUCAUAUGAAUAUCCAAUUCAUUUGUAUAAUUGCUUUAAUCGAUGGAUAUAUUUAAUUGAACAUUAAUAGUCCAAUAAAGAUAACUGUUAUAUA
Long non-coding RNA from Patella vulgata (common limpet), 1672 nucleotides. RefSeq lists it as uncharacterized. The record is from RefSeq and is a predicted model, not a curated record. The transcript is spliced from 2 exons. Lineage: Eukaryota; Metazoa; Mollusca; Gastropoda; Patellidae.